AGAUGAGCCGCGGGAAAGGAGACGAGGGGCGGUGGCCAGGCGGUUGCCCUGACAACGGGGAACCGACCGACUCUUCCCGGUAGGGAGAGGCGAUGGCGGAAUUACUCCUCUAAUGUCAAGGUAUUCUAAUCACAGAAUUACUGGAGCAUCAAGAAGUGCCUGCAUGCUUGGAAGGGCUUCCAGGCAGAUGAACACACCUCAGCACCGGGUGGCAUUUUCCCAGGGUGCAACCCGGACCGGCUCUGGGUCACACUGACAAGCCUCUCCGACUCCCCAGGCUGGGUUGGGUGCUCCUCCCUCUCAUCCCACAGCGCUAUGUCUCAUGUCUUCUGGAAAACUUGCCAAUCCCUAGUGACAACAGGGUUAACAAUUUCCAGAGACAGCCCGUACAUAGAAGGAAUGUUUACUGAAAAAAAUGAAGAGGGGUCAGGGCAAGGCGAGGAGCAAGAAGCACCCCCAAGGAAACAGAGAAGACCAGUACAACUGUACCUCUUUGCCAGCUGCACCAUCCGUACCAGGUGGCACGUUCCAGAGCCAUAGCCUCUGUUCUAUUCAUCUCCAGUCUCCUGGGGUGGAAGUGUCCAGCACAGAGACUGCCACACUGCAAGACGAAGGGGCUGGACACACGGAAGAGAGAGGCGGAACCCUGCACCCCCUCAACCUCAGCCCUACUGAGUCUCCAAUGGGGCCACGCUUCUGAGUGCACCUCCCCGUGUCAUCUGUAAUGUGAGGGGGAACCAGGCUUGAUAUGGCAUUCCCAAUCCAGGGCCUCUGGACCCCUUGAGAUGCAU
Molecule: long non-coding RNA, 791 nt
Filed under: Homo sapiens (human)
Lineage: Eukaryota; Metazoa; Chordata; Mammalia; Primates; Hominidae
Description: HSALNT0291220
Source: RNAcentral